CAAAUCCGAAAAUGUUUCCAGUAACAUCUUUUUAUGCACUGGCUGCUGAAGAUUAACUAAAAGUUCUUGGCUGAGAUCUUGCUUCCUACCUAAAUGUUUCAGUUUCAUUGAAAUAGAAUUUAACUUUUCAAAUGUUCUAAUUGGAAACAGAAAAUGAAUCCCCAUUUCCCAAGGGGAGAAGCCAUGGUUUCCUUAAAAUGUUCCUAAAUUAUCCAACAUAGUGCUAGACACACAGUAUACAUUUAGCACUCUCUAAAUCCAACCAUGUAAGGUAGAAUUCCUACUUAUGGAAAGUCAUGUAAGCUACAUGACCUAAUAAGAUCUGGGUUCUCUUUCCUUUACUUUCACUCAUUUUCUGAUAAAUUCCAGGAAAACUUCCCAAAUGAGCACAAGUAUUAUCAACCCUCAUCAUUGGAAAUCCACUAUUUUUCAGCAGUUGUAUUUUUGAUAUGAUUUUAAAAUUUAGAUGGACUUUUACUACAUGAACUUACACAUUUAAGACUUUUAGGUGGGAGGUUUUGGCAACUAGGCAAGCACUUCUGUAAGCUAUUGACUGCUAUCAUAAUGUUGGGUGUAUAAAAGGAAGGGAUGACAGGACUAUAAAGCUUGAAAUAGAAACUGAUAAGUGAAGAAGUAAGCUACAGAAUAUUUGAUCAGUAAAUAAUAACUGUAUCUGAAGGUACUGAGUGUUCACUUUUGCAUGUGUUGGAUUCUUGGUGAGGUGGUUUAUAUUCACUAAUUUUUAUAGCAACCCUAUAUAUAAGCAUUAUCAUCUCCAUUUCACAAAUAAAUAAACUGAGGUUCAGAAAAGUGAAAGGUUUUAUAACUGUUGGCAGAGCUGAUAUUUAUGGUUUGUUCCAUAGUAAAACUUUCUUCCUGCUACAUCAUAUUGUCUCAGAAGUGGCAUAAAAAUAACCAGGAAAAGACAAAGAGAGGUGAAAUACAUUAAAUGUAAGUAAAAUAUAUUCCUUUUUUAUUUGAAUGGAUUUAUUUGAACUUACAUAUGAAAUUCAUGACAGCAAAAAAGGAAUUGAGUUGAAUAGGUGAUAUGGAGCUCAGCUAGGACUGAAAAAGCACUUCCUGCCUUGGUGAAUAACAAAGUGCUUGGGCUGAACAUGGUAGUGUCCUGUCUGAUUCUCUCUCUCUAAUUCCCAUAGCUGGCCAGCUGUUUUCCUCCAUAAAAAUCUCUAGAAUAUGCUUGACUAUGCUUUGAUAGGGUCUUCAACAUUGCACGCAGAUAUGGUGACAUCGUGAGAAUAACAAAAUGGUACCUUUGUUAGCAAGAUGUCUGGCUGAUAAAUAAGAAAGGGCUCCCUUCCCACACACUGGGUAACCCACCAUACUUGGCCAGCAGACCACAGUCUGAUUUUCUGCAACCCCUUGACUCUUGGAAAAAUGUUUCAUGCAGGGAAUAGCUGCAUGACCCUAUCUGCAUGGCCAUAUGUUGUGGCCUUAGCCUUGUUCUUCUCCACCUCCAUUAUCUUCCUCAUGGCUUAAGUCACCACCAUUUCUUCCUGGCAGUGUUCUCUUAAAUUCUUCUCUUUACCUCCAGUCUUCCUCUCCUCCAGUGCUUUCUUCACACAACAAUUAAUUUGCUUUUGGAAAUACAACUAUGAUCACAACACCCCACCAACAACACACUGUUCUUUACCUGACUCUGUGGGCUUUCUCCUUUCUUUUCUUACUGUUGAGACGUGGUUCAGAUCAUCAGUGUCAAAAAAUGAGACACAUGAACAUGGGAAGAUCUCGACAAGGCUCUUUACUUCUGCAGAAGGGCAUGGGUGCUCAAAAAGCACAUGCAAAGAAGAAAAGACCCUCCCUGUUUAUCCCUAAUGCAGGUAAUGUACCUGUCCCUUUCCCAUUGGUCAGAUCAGGGUGUACAUUCCUCUAGGUUGGCUAAUUUGAAACAAAUUGUUACUGGGGGAAGAGGGAAAGAGGAGGGAGAGUCGCAGGAAGGCGUUUCAGCUGAAACCAGAGCAAAAUGGAGUAACCAAGAUUUCCUUUGAUAGAAAAGAUAUUACAUUACUUACCACAAUUCCCUCCUUUCAUUUUUUAUCAAAUAUUCUUUUCUUCAAACUCUUUGAGCAUGGUUUGUCUCUCAUGCUCUAUUGUGUCCAUCAGGAGAAUAUUGGCUUGGUGGGGAGGGGGGCCCAGUUGCUUUGUUAGGGCAGUUUCUGUUAAUUUUUGAAUAAGUCUCCUGGCACAAGGAAUUACACAACAUGCAACUAAGACAUGGAUACUAUCUACAGCAAUUUGAGGGAUACAGAUUGAAGCUAUUAGUCCCUUUCAUUUUUUUAAUUUUAAAACCAAUUUUCUAAAAGGUCUGUGAAGGGGUCAUUGAUACCAGAAUUCUCUGAAAGAUCAUCUGCUAAGGCCGUUAAUCUGUGUAGGGCCUUGGUGAUGGUUCUGUCUGGGGUGGUGUUGUUGGGAAUGAAUGUACAGCACUGGCUAUCAAUCAUUACACAGACUCCACCCUUUUCUGCCAGCGUCAUGUCUAAAGCAAGUCUGUUUUCUCAUGCCAUAUGACUAGUUGGCCCUAGCUGUUCAGCUAUUUCUUUAAUGGCAUCUCUGGUGUAAUUAAUGAAUCUUUGUUGAUUGUAAAAAAUGUAGUUUAUCCAAUCAACAUUUUUGUUUAUGGUUGAUCACAAAAAGAGAGCAGGUUCAAACCCAGCAGCUACCUGAUUUCUUGUCUUAAAUUUGUUUGGAGAGUUCCCGUUGUGGAGCAGUGGUUAAUGAAUCCGACUAGGAACCAUGAGGUUGUGGGUUCGAUCCCUGGCCUUGCUCAGCAGGUUAACUAUCCUGCAUUGCCAUGAGCUGUGGUGUAGGUUGCAGAUGUGGCUUAGAUCCUGCGUUGCUGUGGCUCUGGCGUAGGCUGGCAGCUACAGCUCUUAUUAGACCCCUAGCCUGGGAAACUCCAUAUGCCACGGGAGCGGCCCAAGAAAUGGCAAAAAGACAAAAAAAAAAAAAUUUGUUUGGAACACCUGUUGAGUCAAUACAGACCUGGGGGUCAAAGUGCCACCAUCCCUGGUAAUGUCUUAUUUUCUCAGGAUUGGCUGUGUUUGAUAUUGGGGCCUAAAUGCCAGGGUGAAAUGAAUGGCCAAUUGCAACAAAGUAUAGGUGUCACUUUGAUUUUCUGGAGGGAUGCCCAUUAGUGGACUCCCACAAUACCACCAGACAUCUCGGGGCACUUGGAACAGGGAUUUAUUGUGGGGGUGAUGUAGGACCGGCUUUGGCUGCACCUGGUCAAGUUGCCUAAGAAAGUUGCCUUUGCUUCUUGUCAUUUUAGACUUGAGGAGAAGUUGACAUUUUCAUUUGGCUGCUGAACAGUUUUUGGGGGCUGACCCACAGAACUUUUGACCUCAGGGAAUAGUAGUGACAGAGUCUAACUGGACUCAUUAUUUCAAGCCAUUUUGUCGUGGAAGAGGGCCAUCACACAGUCGAGACCCUAUGGGUCUGACAACCAUCCCAGAGGAAAGGAACCACUUGGGCCUCUGGUCUCCCUGUGGCACAAGCAUAAUAGCUGCCUUUGUGUAGUGUGUCCACAGAAUAUUUUAUCCAUUUCAAACAGGCAUUUGUGUCCUCAUAUCCUGUUUUUAUACUUGCAGUCAGCCUUCCUCCAAAGGUGAGUUUUCUGUUUCCUUAAGUUAAUAGGGCAGUGGCAGCUACCAACUGUAUGUACUCAGCCAUCCUCUGGUGACAGAGUUCAGGAGGCAGAAAAGGAAGGCCACCAGCUGGUGGCUUUCUCCAUGUUUCUAUGUGAGGACCCCCUAGAGCGAUCCCAGGGCCCAUGCUUACAAAUAAAUGAAAAGGUUUUUCAAAAGGAUGGUAGAGCCAGAAGAGGGGCACCUGUCAGUGCCUCUCUUAAAUCCCUAAAUUGUUGUACCUCCUCCUGGCUCCAUAGUUAGGUAUCAGGGUCUUCCUCUAGAAGCUUGGAAAUAGUCCUUUUAUAUUAUGUCCUUUUUAGUACACAUGGUCCCCUUGUUGCAGGUUUUGGGGCAUCUGAUUUUUAUCCAAAAAUAGAUUGCUGAGAUAAACUUUAGAAAUAAGCUUAGAAUGUUCUUUUAGAAGCUCAGUUAAACUUUGCAUCAAUAUAACAUAAUAGCAAAGAACUACUAGGGAGUAAGUCUUAGUGAUACUGACCAUAAGUAAAAGAACGAGAUUAACAGAUUUAGCAAGUUUUCAUUGAAACAUCUCUUUCUCUCUAAAAUUACUUUCAUUUUUAUCAAAUAUUAGUCAAACCAAGACUAAUUUAUUUGCCAAUUAAGUCUGGUGUCAGCAACCUUGGCCUGAUGACUUACAUGAAUAAAAUUGAUCAUAUAGAUUUAUUUUUUAAUUGGCUUUGUUGGAACUUUAUGAGGAAUCUUAGACUAAGCUUUUAAAAGGCACCUCAGGGCUAGGAAAGUCAUGUGAAUGGUUUGUCUUAAAGAUUUUUAUCUUAAAAAUCUUGGUGAAUUCCUUCCCUUUUAAAAACCCAGAUCCUUGAGUUUUUUACAGGCUACAUACAAGGUGGCCUUCCUAAUUAUCUGAUAAAGUUUCUGAAAACCUGAGUUUCCAUUCUCUGAAGAAUCAGGGAGAGAAGAGAGAAAUGUUUCAGUUCUGCUUACAAAGGUAUAAUUUACCAAAUUGCUUGUUGGGAAGAUUUUCUUUAUACCUGGAAAACGCAGAUGAAAAGUCAGUAUUAUUUUAAAUAGAGACCAUAAAAUUAUAACCAUAUCCACCAGUUCACACAGUCCAAUGUAACCAAUCCCUUUUGUUCAACUGUUUAUGAAAUCAUCAAUUUCCCUUUUAGAAUUUUUUUUUUUUUUAAUUUCUUACUCAGCUCAUCAUUAAGGUCUGGAAGUCAGAAACUUUUAUUUAAAAAAAAAGUUCUUUCUGGAGUUCCCGUCGUGGCGUAGUGGUUAACGAAUCCGACUAGGAACCAUGAGGUUGCGGGUUCGGUCCCUGCCCUUGCUCAGUGGGUUAAGGAUCUGGCGUUAUCGUGAGCUGUGGUGUAGGUUGCAGACGCGGCUCGGAUCCCGUGUUGCUGUGGCUCUGGCGUAGGCCGGCAGCUACAGCUCCAAUUCGACCCCUAGCCUGGGAACCUCCAUAUGCCGCAGGAGUGGCCCAAGAAAUG
This 5113-nucleotide long non-coding RNA is filed under the name Sus scrofa (pig). Its description in RNAcentral is "lncRNA (ENSSSCG00000062073.1)". The record is from RNAcentral. Lineage: Eukaryota; Metazoa; Chordata; Mammalia; Artiodactyla; Suidae.